Sciurus carolinensis (gray squirrel) is the source of this 4242-nucleotide RNA transcript. It is a transcript of the gene named mannosidase beta, with no coding region annotated. NCBI's taxonomy places the organism in Eukaryota, Metazoa, Chordata, Mammalia, Rodentia, Sciuridae. The transcript has 25 exons. The record is from RefSeq and is a predicted model, not a curated record.
CCUGGGGUGGGGACAGCUAAAGCUUCGGCUUUUCAGCAAGACUGACGGGUGUCCUCGCCUUGGGUCCCCUGAAGCGGCGGAACCCGACCCUUCGGGCGAGCCCGCCAGGCUCCAGCACCGAGAUGCGCCUCCACCUGCUCCUGCUGCUGGUGCUGUGCCGGUCGGGCUCGACUUCCGGGGCGCUCAGCUACGGCCUAGGAGGAAGCUGGAGGAUCCGCAGCGGGAACGGCUCGCUGGAGCUGCUCGGGACCGUCCCCGGCUGCGUGCACAGCGCCUUGUUCCAGCAGGGCCUAAUCCAGGAUCCUUACUAUGGAUUUAAUGACCUUAAUUAUAGAUGGAUUUCCUUGGAUAACUGGACUUAUAGCAAGGAAUUUAAAAUUCCCUUUGAUAUCAGCAAAUGGCAAAUAAUAAAUUUGAUAUUUGAGGGAGUUGAUACAGUUUCAGAAAUCCUGUUGAAUAACGUUACUAUUGGGAAAACAGACAACAUGUUCAACAAAUACAUCUUCGAUAUUACCAAUGUGGUUAGAGUCAUGAACUCCAUUGAGCUGCGUUUCCAGUCAGCAGUGCUGUACGCUGCAAAGCAGAGCAAAGCUUACACCAGCCGCGAGGUGCCCCCCAACUGCCCUCCACUUGUGCAGAAGGGUGAAUGCCAUGUCAACUUUAUUCGAAAGGAACAGUGUUCCUUUAGUUGGGACUGGGGGCCUUCCUUUCCUACCCAGGGAAUCUGGAAAGAUGUUAGAAUUGAAGCCUAUAAUAUUUGUCAUCUGAAUGACUUCACAUUUGUCCCAAUGUAUGUCAGAAGAACCCAGGUGUGGAAUCUUGAAAUACAGGCAUUUUUUGAUGUCAUCAGCCCAACUCCAGUUGGUGGUCAAGUGAUCAUAGCCAUCCCUGAAUUAAAAAUACAGCAGACAAAUAGCAUUACACUUCAACCUGGGGCAAGGAUUGUUGAGCUGUCUGUGAAAAUUAAUAAGAAUAUUCCUGUGAAAACUUGGUGGCCUCAUGGACAUGGAAACCAGACUGGGUAUAACAUGAAAAUUCUUUUUAAACUGGAUAAAAAUUUAACUAUUGAAAGAUCAGCUAAGGUUUAUUUUAGAACAGUAGAACUUAUGGAAGAGCCCAUAAAAGGAUCUCAUGGUCUAAGUUUCUACUUCAAAAUUAAUGAAAUUCCCAUAUUUCUGAAAGGAUCCAAUUGGAUCCCAGCAGAUUCAUUCCAGGAUCGAGUAACUUCUGACUUGUUAUGGCUCCUUUUGCAGUCUGUUGUGGAUGCUAACAUGAAUGUUCUCCGGGUGUGGGGAGGAGGCAUUUAUGAGCAGGAUGAGUUCUAUGAACUCUGUGAUGAACUAGGAAUAAUGGUAUGGCAGGAUUUUAUGUUUGCCUGUGCCCUUUAUCCAAAUGAACAGGGCUUCAUGGAUUCAGUGGCAGCAGAAGUUGCUCACCAGGUCAGGAGACUGAAGUCUCAUCCCUCUAUCAUAGUAUGGAGUGGCAAUAAUGAAAAUGAAGAAGCACUGAUGAUGAACUGGUUUGGUAUAAAACUAGUUGAUCUGCCAGUCUACAUAAAAGACUAUGUGGCACUCUAUGUGUCAAACAUCAGAGAGGUCGUCUUUUCAGGAGAUAAGAGUCGUCCUUUUGUAACGUCCAGUCCUUCAAAUGGAGCCAAAUCUGUUGAAGAAGGCUGGGUCUCUCAGAAUCCUCAGAGCAAGUUUUUUGGUGAUGUACAUUUUUAUGACUAUGAUAGUGAUUGCUGGAAUUGGAAAAUUUUCCCAAAAGCUCGAUUUGUUUCUGAGUAUGGAUAUCAGUCCUGGCCUUCCUUCAGUACGUUAGAGACGGUCUCAUCUAAAAAGGACUGGUUUUACAACAGCAGCUUUUCCUUUCAUCGACAACAUCAUGAACGUGGUAACUAUAAAAUGCUUUAUCAGGCUGGACUUCAUUUCAAACUGCCCCAAAGCUCAGACCCAUUACGUACAUUUAAAGACACCAUCUACAUUACUCAGGUGAUGCAGGCCCAGUGUGUCAAAACGGAAACUGAAUUCUAUCUCCGCAGUCGCAGUGAGAUAGUAAAUGGAAAAGGCCACACCAUGGGGGCGAUGUACUGGCAGUUGAAUGACAUCUGGCAGGCUCCUUCCUGGUCUUCUCUUGAGUUUGGAGGAAAGUGGAAAAUGCUUCAUUACUUUGCUCGAAAUUUCUUUGCUCCACUGUUGCCAGUAGGCUUUGAGGAUCAAGAUGUAUUUUAUAUCUAUGGUGUGUCAGACCUUCACUCAGAGUCCAAAGUGAAACUCACCGUGAGAAUCCAUUCGUGGAGUUCCCUGAAACCCUUGUGCUCCACUGUGACUAACCCUCUUGUCAUUAAAGCCGGGGAGGCUGUGUCCCUCUAUAAGGAACCAGUGUAUAAACUGCUGAAGAGAUGUGGGAAUUGUACCCGGCAAAGCUGUGUGGUUUCCUUUUACCUUUCAACUGACGGAGGACACCGGAGCCCCACCAACUAUCACUUCCUGUCCUCUCUGAAGUAUGCCGUGGGCCUCCUCAAGCCCCAUAUCACAGCCAAUAUCUCUCAGCAACAUGACACUUUUGUUUUUGCCCUGGAAACCUCAGCUGUUGCUCCCUUUGUUUGGUUGGAUGUAGGCAGCAUCCCAGGGAGAUUUAGUGACAAUGGUUUCCUCAUGACUGAGAAGAAACAAACUGUAUUAUUUUACCCUUGGAAACCUACCAGCAAGAAUGAAUUGAAGCAAUCUUUUCGUGUGACCUCCCUGACAGAUAUUUACUGAAGGAAUCUGGUUGUAUUUUCGGUGGACACUGGAAACCAAGCAUUUCUAGAGCUCUCACUGGAGAGGAGGACAACCCGAGAGAAGCUGAGGAAACUGAGAGAUGCAUCUACUUGCUCCCACGUGUCUGAUCGUUCUCUCGAGUUUGUACAAUGAAUACUUUCAGGGAAGGCUGUUCCCCAGGUGACAGGGGCCAUCACACCCAGCAAGACCUUGGGAGUUGAGCGAUAGAGGAAGAAUGUUAGUUUGGAUUCCUUCAUGGCUAAGAAGAGAGAUGCCCUACUCAUCCCUGAGCCUGCUGCAAGAGUGGUUGAUUAAAACACUACUGGAGUCAGAAGAUCCUGCAGGUCUGUUACUUGGGGAAUUGCACAUCAGAAGAAAAUCCACCCCGCCUCCGAAGGUGAAAAAACAGGAAGAAGAAAGAGACGCAAUACUCUUCAUUCCCUGAAUAAUUCAUUCAUAAGCAAUUUAGCCUGCAUCACCAGCUGAGGCAGCUUAAAGACCAGAUGGGGACACCUGACUGGGGACUGAGAUGGCUGAAGGACAGGCUCCCUUGCCUAUCCUACAGUGCAUGCUGCAGUGGCUGGGACCUCAUUUAAGGCACGAUGGCUCACCCAUGAACACAGGAGUUAUCCGGAGUUGGGUGUAAGCUUAGAAGUACUUUUACUAUGGCCUACUUGACCUCUUAAACCUCAGAUUCUUACUCUAUCCUAUUUAUAAACAGAAAAACAAGCACUUCCUUGAAUCUGACCUACAGACAGUGGAGGUGGUUCUUACUCUGGUUGUAUUAUAUGGAGCUUUGAAUCAAUGAUAGCCUGAAACAUAUAGAUACAACUUUGAACUUUCAGGGGAGAGCCUCCAAGAAAACAUAUGGAGAUACUUUUUUCCUUCUGAGAGCACCAACAGUCUAUCCUUGAGUAAUGUGUUCAUAAAUGAGAGACUUGGUAUUGCAUGUGAGAGCUGUAAUGCACUUCCGAGGAAAGACUGCAUUGCUCAUAUUUUGUAGACGAUAAACUCCAGGAACAAGGUGAUGAAGUUACUUUCCAUACAGCUCAGAGCUGGCUACUAAGUGGCAGGGCAGGGCUGGAAGCCUGUUUUGACACCAUACCAAGCUGCGUCCAGUUAGAAGCCGACUACUCACUGCUGUCAUAGAUGGCGUCUGACACCACGGGUUCCAGGCGCCUGGUGAAGCUGCCCGUGCUGUCAGGAAGAAAAGCUGUAAACAUGAGCCGCACCACGCUGAGGUCCAUCUCCUUCGUCUGCUGAAGAGCUGCCUGGCGGAUGAGCUCCUUUUCCCGAUCUAGGAUCACACAGCACAGUCGUUCAUGCCAAAAGGCAGCGGAAAGUGUCAACUUCUACAACAGCCUUUAUAAACUCAAAGAACGAGGCCUUAAAAACCCGUUUAUUUUCCCUCUCUCUUUUGAAAUUCUUUAUAUUGUUAGUAAAAAAUUUUAAGUAGUCCCAUUUAUGUCAUCCCAAAUUA